Molecule: non-coding RNA, 77 nt
Organism: Podarcis lilfordi (Lilford's wall lizard)
Lineage: Eukaryota; Metazoa; Chordata; Lepidosauria; Squamata; Lacertidae
Source: the annotation of a GenBank genome assembly
CAUGUUUACUGGUGUGUGUGUGUGUGUGUGUGUGUAGACACACACACACACACACACACACACGUGUGUUGAAUAUG